RNAcentral lists this ribosomal RNA (428 nucleotides) under uncultured Oscillospiraceae bacterium. RNAcentral's name for it is "bacterial SSU rRNA". It matches the Rfam family "Bacterial small subunit ribosomal RNA", at positions 354 to 796 of the family's 1533-position model. Lineage: Bacteria; Bacillati; Bacillota; Clostridia; Eubacteriales; Oscillospiraceae. The record is from RNAcentral.
GUGGGGAAUAUUGGGCAAUGGGGGAAACCCUGACCCAGCAACGCCGCGUGAAGGAAGAAGGCCUUCGGGUUGUAAACUUCUUUUAGCAGGGACGAAGGACGUGACGGUACCUGCAGAAAAAGCAACGGCUAACUACGUGCCAGCAGCCGCGGUAAUACGUAGGUUGCAAGCGUUGUCCGGAUUUACUGGGUGUAAAGGGCGUGUAGGCGGAGCUGCAAGUCAGAUGUGAAAUCCCGGGGCUCAACCCCGGAACUGCAUUUGAAACUGUAGCCCUUGAGUAUCGGAGAGGCAAGCGGAAUUCCUAGUGUAGCGGUGAAAUGCGUAGAUAUUAGGAGGAACACCAGUGGCGAAGGCGGCUUGCUGGACGACAACUGACGCUGAGGCGCGAAAGCGUGGGGAGCAAACAGGAUUAGAAACCCUUGUAGUCC